GACGAACGCUGGCGGCGUGCUUAACACAUGCAAGUCGAACGAUGAAGCGGUGCUUGCACCGUGGAUUAGUGGCGAACGGGUGAGUAAUACGUGAGUGACCUACCUUUGACUCUGGGAUAAGCCUGGGAAACUGGGUCUAAUACCGGAUACGACCAAUCUCUGCAUGGGGUGUUGGUGGAAAGCGUUAUGGAGUGGUUUUAGAUGGGCUCACGGCCUAUCAGCUUGUUGGUGAGGUAAUGGCUUACCAAGGCGACGACGGGUAGCCGGCCUGAGAGGGUGACCGGCCACACUGGGACUGAGACACGGCCCAGACUCCUACGGGAGGCAGCAGUGGGGAAUAUUGCACAAUGGGCGCAAGCCUGAUGCAGCGACGCCGCGUGAGGGAUGACGGCCUUCGGGUUGUAAACCUCUGUUAGCAUCGAAGAAGCGAAAGUGACGGUAGGUGCAGAGAAAGCGCCGGCUAACUACGUGCCAGCAGCCGCGGUAAUACAUAUGGCGCGAGCGUUGUCCGGAAUUAUUGGGCGUAAAGAGCUUGUAAGCGGUUGGUCGCGUCUGCUGUGAAGGCCGGGGCUUAACUCCGGUUUUGCAGUGGGUACGGGCUAACUAGAGUGCAGUAGGGGAGACUGGAAUUCCUGGUGUAGCGGUGGAAUGCACAGAUAUCAGGAGGAACACCGAUGGCGAAGGCAGGUCUCUGGGCUGUAACUGACGCUGAGAAGCGAAAGCAUGGGGAGCGAACAGGAUUAGAUACCCUGGUAGUCCAUGCCGUAAACGUUGGGCACUAGGUGUGGGGGACAUUCCACGUUUUCCGCGCCGUAGCUAACGCAUUAAGUGCCCCGCCUGGGGAGUACGGCCGCAAGGCUAAAACUCAAAGGAAUUGACGGGGGCCCGCACAAGCGGCGGAGCAUGCGGAUUAAUUCGAUGCAACGCGAAGAACCUUACCAAGGCUUGACAUGCAUUAGAUCGCGUCAGAGAUGGCGUUUCCCUUCGGGGCUGGUGUACAGGUGGUGCAUGGUUGUCGUCAGCUCGUGUCGUGAGAUGUUGGGUUAAGUCCCGCAACGAGCGCAACCCUCGUUCUAUGUUGCCAGCGGUUCGGCCGGGGACUCAUAGGAGACUGCCGGGGUCAACUCGGAGGAAGGUGGGGAUGACGUCAAAUCAUCAUGCCCCUUAUGUCUUGGGCUUCACGCAUGCUACAACGGCCGGUACAGAGGGUUGCGAUACUGUGAGGUGGAGCUAAUCCCUUAAAGCCGGUCUCAGUUCGGAUUGGGGUCUGCAACUCGACCCCAUGAAGUCGGAGUCGCUAGUAAUCGCAGAUCAGCAACGCUGCGGUGAAUACGUUCCCGGGCCU
RNAcentral lists this ribosomal RNA (1345 nucleotides) under uncultured bacterium. RNAcentral describes it as "bacterial SSU rRNA". It matches the Rfam family "Bacterial small subunit ribosomal RNA", at positions 28 to 1381 of the family's 1533-position model. The record is from RNAcentral.